CCUACGGGUGGCAGCAGUGGGGAAUUUUGGACAAUGGGGGGAACCCUGAUCCAGCCAUGCCGCGUGUGUGAAGAAGGCCCUCGGGUUGUAAAGCACUUUCAGUGAGGAAGAACGCCUGGUGGUUAAUACCCAUCAGGAAAGACAUCACUCACAGAAGAAGCACUGGCUAACUCCGUGCCAGCAGCCGCGGUAAUACGGAGGGUGCGAGCGUUAAUCGGAAUUACUGGGCGUAAAGCGCGCGUAGGUGGCUUGAUAAGCCGGUUGUGAAAGCCCCGGGCUCAACCUGGGAACGGCAUCCGGAACUGUCAAGCUAGAGUGCAGGAGAGGAAGGUAGAAUUCCCGGUGUAGCGGUGAAAUGCGUAGAGAUCGGGAGGAAUACCAGUGGCGAAGGCGGCCUUCUGGACUGACACUGACACUGAGGUGCGAAAGCGUGGGUAGCAAACAGGAUUAGAUACCCUGGUAGUC
RNAcentral lists this ribosomal RNA (465 nucleotides) under Vreelandella stevensii. RNAcentral's name for it is "partial 16S ribosomal RNA". It matches the Rfam family "Bacterial small subunit ribosomal RNA", at positions 338 to 795 of the family's 1533-position model. Lineage: Bacteria; Pseudomonadati; Pseudomonadota; Gammaproteobacteria; Oceanospirillales; Halomonadaceae. The record is from RNAcentral.